Molecule: ribosomal RNA, 231 nt
Filed under: uncultured bacterium
Lineage: Bacteria
Description: partial 16S ribosomal RNA
Rfam family: Bacterial small subunit ribosomal RNA
Source: RNAcentral
UGAGCAAUCUGCCCUUCUCAUCGGAAUAAGCGUUGGAAACGACGUCUAAUGCCGAAUACGACCUCCUUUCGCAUGAUCGGAGGUGGAAAGCUCCGGCGGAGAAGGAUGAGCUCGCGGCCUAUCAGCUAGUUGGUGUGGGUAAUGGCCCACCAAGGUGACGACGGGUAGCCGGCCUGAGAGGGUGUCCGGCCACACUGGGACUGAGAUACGGCCCAGACUCCUACGGGAGCA